UAGUGGCGGACGGGUGAGUAACGCGUGAGAAUCUGGCUUCAGGUUCGGGACAACAGUUGGAAACGGCUGCUAAUACCGGAUGUGCCCUUGGGUGAAAGAUUUAUCACCUGAAGAUGAGCUCGCGUCUGAUUAGCUAGUAGGUGUGGUAAGAGCGCACCUAGGCGACGAUCAGUAGCUGGUCUGAGAGGAUGAUCAGCCACACUGGGACUGAGACACGGCCCAGACUCCUACGGGAGGCAGCAGUGGGGAAUUUUCCGCAAUGGGCGAAAGCCUGACGGAGCAAUACCGCGUGAGGGAGGAAGGCUCUUGGGUUGUAAACCUCUUUUCUCAGGGAAGAAUGAUGACGGUACCUGAGGAAUAAGCAUCGGCUAACUCCGUGCCAGCAGCCGCGGUAAUACGGAGGAUGCAAGCGUUAUCCGGAAUGAUUGGGCGUAAAGCGUCCGCAGGUGGCAAUGUAAGUCUGCUGUCAAAGCGUCUGGCUCAACCAGAUAAAGGCAGUGGAAACUACAUAGCUAGAGUAAGGUAGGGGUAGAGGGAAUUCCUGGUGUAGCGGUGAAAUGCGUAGAGAUCAGGAAGAACACCGGUGGCGAAAGCGCUCUGCUGGACCUUAACUGACACUGAGGGACGAAAGCUAGGGGAGCGAAUGGGAUUAGAUACCCCAGUAGUCCUAGCCGUAAACGAUGGAUACUAGGCGUUGCCCGUAUCGACCCGGGCAGUGUCGUAGCUAACGCGUUAAGUAUCCCGCCUGGGGAGUACGCAGGCAACUGUGAAACUCAAAGGAAUUGACGGGGGCCCGCACAAGCGGUGGAGUAUGUGGUUUAAUUCGAUGCAACGCGAAGAACCUUACCAGGGCUUGACAUGUCCGGAAUCCUCUUGAAAGGGAGGAGUGCCUUCGGGAGCCGGAACACAGGUGGUGUAUGGCUGUCGUCAGCUCGUGUCGUGAGAUGUUGGGUUAAGUCCCGCAACGAGCGCAACCCUCGUUCUUAGUUGCCAUCAUUAAGUUGGGAACUCUAAGGAGACUGCCGGUGCCAAACCGGAGGAAGGUGGGGAUGACGUCAAGUCAGCAUGCCCUUUACGCCCUGGGCUACACACGUACUACAAUGCUAUGGCCAAAGGGCAGCAAGCCAGCGAUGGCAAGCAAAUCUCGUAAACCAUGGCUCAGUUCAGAUCGCAGGCUGCAACUCGCCUGCGUGAAGUCGGAAUCGCUAGUAAUUGCAGGUCAGCAUACUGCAGUGAAUUCGUUCCCGGGCCUUGUACACACCGCCCGUCACACCAUGGAAGCUGGUCACGCCCGAAGUCGUUACCCUAACCUUUCGAGGAGGGGGACGCCGAAGGUAGGACUGGUGACUGGGGUGAAGUCGUAACAAGGUAGCCGUACCGGAAGGUGUGGCUGGAUCACCUCCUU
This 1405-nucleotide ribosomal RNA is filed under the name Kalymmatonema desertorum WJT9-NPBG6B. RNAcentral describes it as "bacterial SSU rRNA". It matches the Rfam family "Bacterial small subunit ribosomal RNA". The record is from RNAcentral. Lineage: Bacteria; Bacillati; Cyanobacteriota; Cyanophyceae; Nostocales; Scytonemataceae.